Molecule: transfer RNA, 75 nt
Filed under: Gammaproteobacteria bacterium
Lineage: Bacteria; Pseudomonadati; Pseudomonadota; Gammaproteobacteria
Description: tRNA-Val
Rfam family: tRNA
About the family: Transfer RNA (tRNA) molecules are approximately 80 nucleotides in length.
Source: RNAcentral
UGACGCAUAGCUCAAUGACAGAGCAUCUGUUUUACAUACAGAAGGUUCUCGGUUUGAAUCCGAGUGCGCCGACCA